Lepidothrix coronata (blue-crowned manakin) is the source of this 269-nucleotide long non-coding RNA. RefSeq lists it as uncharacterized. The transcript has 3 exons. Lineage: Eukaryota; Metazoa; Chordata; Aves; Passeriformes; Pipridae. The record is from RefSeq and is a predicted model, not a curated record.
CUGUUCGAAGCCAUUCCCCCUCGUCCUGCCCUUACAAAAAGUCCCUCUCCACCUUGCUCGCAGCUGCCCUCGGGUACUGGAAGGACACGCCUCCCUCAGCCCCCGACAGCCGCCUGAGGGUAUAGACAGAAGGCAGCUCCAGAGAGAUACAAGUAUUUUGGCCUCUUCAAGCAGUGUCUGAUAUAAAAUCUCUUCAUACACAUUCUCUACUUGGAUCACACUCGUGUAAUCAGCAAAAAUGUACUGCUCGUAUUUCUGCAGCUCCUGUG